UACGGAGGGUGCAAGCGUUACUCGGAAUCACUGGGCGUAAAGAGCGUGUAGGCGGGUUGAUAAGUUUGAAGUGAAAUCCUAUAGCUUAACUAUAGAACUGCUUUGAAAACUGUUAACCUAGAAUAUGGGAGAGGUAGAUGGAAUUUCUGGUGUAGGGGUAAAAUCCGUAGAGAUCAGAAGGAAUACCGAUUGCGAAGGCGAUCUACUGGAACAUUAUUGACGCUGAGACGCGAAAGCGUGGGUAGCAAACAGG
RNAcentral lists this ribosomal RNA (253 nucleotides) under uncultured bacterium. Its description in RNAcentral is "partial 16S ribosomal RNA". It matches the Rfam family "Bacterial small subunit ribosomal RNA", at positions 524 to 776 of the family's 1533-position model. The record is from RNAcentral.